Molecule: small nucleolar RNA, 63 nt
Organism: Camarhynchus parvulus
Lineage: Eukaryota; Metazoa; Chordata; Aves; Passeriformes; Thraupidae
Source: Ensembl
GCGGUGAUGUCUUUUGACACGUGUUAGACUGCUGACAUACGUGAAGCAAAACUACUUCUGAGC